GGGGGCUCGAGUGGAUCCUCGGGGCCAACCUCCCACCCGUGUUGCCCGAACCUAUGUUGCCUCGGCGGGCCCCGCGCCCGCCGACGGCCCCCCUGAACGCUGUCUGAAGUUGCAGUCUGAGACCUAUAACGAAAUUAGUUAAAACUUUCAACAACGGAUCUCUUGGUUCCGGCAUCGAUGAAGAACGCAGCGAAAUGCGAUAACUAAUGUGAAUUGCAGAAUUCAGUGAAUCAUCGAGUCUUUGAACGCACAUUGCGCCCUCUGGUAUUCCGGAGGGCAUGCCUGUCCGAGCGUCAUUGCUGCCCUCAAGCCCGGCUUGUGUGUUGGGCCCCGUCCCCCCCGCCGGGGGGACGGGCCCGAAAGGCAGCGGCGGCACCGCGUCCGGUCCUCGAGCGUAUGGGGCUUCGUCACCCGCUCUAGUAGGCCCGGCCGGCGCCAGCCGACCCCCAACCUUUAAUUAUCUCAGGUUGACCUCGGAUCAGGUAGGGAUACCCGCUGAACUUAAGCAUAUCAAAAACGGAGAGGU
This 526-nucleotide ribosomal RNA is filed under the name Penicillium citrinum. Its description in RNAcentral is "eukaryotic LSU rRNA". The stretch from base 143 to 296 matches the Rfam family "5.8S ribosomal RNA". The record is from RNAcentral. Lineage: Eukaryota; Fungi; Ascomycota; Eurotiomycetes; Eurotiales; Aspergillaceae.